Molecule: ribosomal RNA, 313 nt
Filed under: uncultured bacterium
Lineage: Bacteria
Description: partial 16S ribosomal RNA
Rfam family: Bacterial small subunit ribosomal RNA
Source: RNAcentral
AGGGAAUCUUCCACAAUGGACGCAAGUCUGAUGGAGCAACGCCGCGUGAGUGAAGAAGGUUUUCGGACCGUAAAGCUCUGUUGUUGGUGAAGAAGGAUAGAGGUAGUAACUGGCCUUUAUUUGACGGUAAUCAACCAGAAAGUCACGGCUAACUACGUGCCAGCAGCCGCGGUAAUACGUAGGUGGCAAGCGUUGUCCGGAUUUAUUGGGCGUAAAGCGAGCGCAGGCGGAAGAAUAAGUCUGAUGUGAAAGCCCUCGGCUUAACCGAGGAAUUGCAUCGGAAACUGUUUUCUUGAGUGCAGAAGAGGAGAGU